UGUACCUCAUAUAGUUGCAACAGAGAUUGCUCAGUGCUGCAUUUCUUGGAAACAUGUGGAAAGCGAAAGUGAAACCUUGUCCAGUUUUAAACAGAUUCUGUGAACUAACGAAGAGAGAACAGAGCGGUUCACGGUCCGGGUGCUGCGAUGGGGAAAACGUAUCAAGUGUUCGUGAGCGGCUCGAAAGGAAAAACAAAUAUUAUUAAUAUUGGAGAAUCUGAAGAUGAUUUCAAAAGGAUGACAGUCCUCAGUUUAAAGAAGAAAUUGAUCGAGAUAUCGCAAAUAGAGGUCGGGGACACAGGUGACCUCCGCCUGCUUUUUUCCAAUGAGCAACUGGAAGACAAGAAAACAUUGGCUGAUUACGGGAUCCAGGACAGAUCCACAAUAAUCGCCGUACUGAGUGUUACAGGAGGAGGGGGAAUGUACAGCGAGUGAGAUUCUCACCCGUGAAACAUUUGUGUGGAAAUGAAGAUUCUAGACAAUAAAUAGUGAUGAUCCAUAUAUCUCUGAUCCGAAAAUGCCGACACAACGAUAAUCUUAACAUUCAUAAAGUGUAUGUUAUCCAAAGUACCUUAGUAUUUCUUUCAAUAUGGGGCUUCAACUUUUCACCUGUUGUUUCUCGAUUGUAAGGCAACAAUGCAGGAACUGCUGGCAUUAACUGCUCCAAUAUAUACCACUAGUCUUGUAAAUGAACGUUUAAUCAUUGUACCCAAGUCCUACUCUAAUUACGAGUUAAUCCACACAUGAGAUUUGAUUUACCAUAGCACUAAAAACAUUCAAGUAAUAGUUGUAAAAUCACAAAUAAUCUCACAUUCAUAAAGGCUAAGUUUCUGCCCACAUAUUUUUCAUGUUAUUUUCAGAAAAUUGUAUCACAUCUUGUUAUAAUUUUACCGUUGGUCAAGUGAAAUAAUAAAAUAAAAGAAAUAUGUGGA
This is a long non-coding RNA of Amblyraja radiata (thorny skate), 932 nucleotides long. RefSeq lists it as uncharacterized. NCBI's taxonomy places the organism in Eukaryota, Metazoa, Chordata, Chondrichthyes, Rajiformes, Rajidae. The transcript has 3 exons. The record is from RefSeq and is a predicted model, not a curated record.